GAAAAAGUCUACCCCACCAUGGGGUCCGGAUCAGACAGCUGCAGUCAAAAGAUUAAAAGAAGUGGCACAGAACUCGCCACCUGUGAAGAUUCCCAGUACUGGCAACAGGAUCCUUCAAACAGACGCCAGCAAUACUCACUGUCGAGCUAUUCUCCUUGAAGAAAUCAAUGGUGAAAAUUUUCUACGUGGUCAUGCUAGUGGUCAGUUUACUGAGGCCCAGAAACAUUACCACUCUGUUUACAAGGAGAUAUUUGCUGUUAAAAAUUGAAUCAAAAAGUUCAAAUUCCAUCUGAUUGGGCACCAUUUUACUAUUAUCAUGGACAGCUCAUCCUUUUCAAAUAUCAUAGAUUUCAAGAAUAAAACUUUGCCAGAACCACAACUGUUGAGGCUCAAAGACUAGUUUUCCAAGUAUAAAUUCUCGGUUCAGCACAUCAAAGGAAAACAUAACCUCUUAGCAGACCUCCUUUCUCGCCCAAAAC
Molecule: unclassified non-coding RNA, 479 nt
Filed under: Hevea brasiliensis (rubber tree)
Lineage: Eukaryota; Viridiplantae; Streptophyta; Magnoliopsida; Malpighiales; Euphorbiaceae
Source: RNAcentral